UGGGAGCCCUGUUACUUCUCCAUGAAA
This 27-nucleotide non-coding RNA is filed under the name Mus musculus (house mouse). The record is from RNAcentral. Lineage: Eukaryota; Metazoa; Chordata; Mammalia; Rodentia; Muridae.